This 558-nucleotide long non-coding RNA is filed under the name Danio rerio (zebrafish). RNAcentral's name for it is "si:dkey-29l6.2 (ENSDARG00000103776.2)". The record is from RNAcentral. Lineage: Eukaryota; Metazoa; Chordata; Actinopteri; Cypriniformes; Danionidae.
GUUUGUUGGAUCAGGUUUAAAUUCCAGCGCAGCAAUCGCAGAGCUCCUCCGAAACAUCAUAUUCAGGCGAUUUUCCUUCAUCAAAGUUAUGGUGCAAACACGCUUCCAAUCCUAUGCAGUUGCAUUUUAAACAUGCCGAUCCAUGCAAGACUGAAAGAGGUGCUCAUUCAGUACCAUAACCCUUCAUUAUUUUAAGACGCGGCCAAGCAUGCUCAUGUCAUGCUCCAGAGACUCUCCUUCUGGGAGGAUUUUCUCUCUGCCUUUUCUGUCCACUGAAAUCUGGCCCUUGCCCAGUAUCUGAUCCACCCUGAGAGGAAACAAACAGCGAUUUUGAGCAUAUGAUGAGGAUGUACACCUUUACACUGUUGUUCCUCAAGCUCGAGCAUGGCACAGCAGGAAAAGGCUGGACUUCGGUUAGUGAAUAAGAACUGAUGUUAGUGCAUCUCCAUCAGCUACGUUUUCUGUUAAAAGACAGUAAGAAAGACAUGUUGACAUAUAUGUUUUGUAAAUUAUACAAGUACAGGACAUUCAGAGCAUUAAAUGUUAUUUGCUACAUUU